Molecule: ribosomal RNA, 253 nt
Filed under: uncultured bacterium
Lineage: Bacteria
Description: partial 16S ribosomal RNA
Rfam family: Bacterial small subunit ribosomal RNA
Source: RNAcentral
UACGAAGGGGACUAGCGUUGUUCGGAAUCACUGGGCGUAAAGCGCACGUAGGUGGAUGAUUAAGUCAGGGGUGAAAGCCCGAGGCUCAACCUCGGAAUUGCCUCUGAUACUGGUUGUCUAGAGUCCGAGAGAGGUGGGUGGAAUUCCUAGUGUAGAGGUGAAAUUCGUAGAUAUUAGGAAGAACACCGGUGGCGAAGGCGGCCCACUGGCUCGGUACUGACACUGAGGUGCGAAAGCGUGGGGAGCAAACAGG